GAUGAACGCUGGCGGCGUGCCUAAUACAUGCAAGUCGAGCGAACGGACGAGAAGCUUGCUUCUCUGAUGUUAGCGGCGGACGGGUGAGUAACACGUGGAUAACCUACCUAUAAGACUGGGAUAACUUCGGGAAACCGGAGCUAAUACCGGAUAAUAUUUUGAACCGCAUGGUUCAAAAGUGAAAGACGGUCUUGCUGUCACUUAUAGAUGGAUCCGCGCUGCAUUAGCUAGUUGGUAAGGUAACGGCUUACCAAGGCAACGAUGCAUAGCCGACCUGAGAGGGUGAUCGGCCACACUGGAACUGAGACACGGUCCAGACUCCUACGGGAGGCAGCAGUAGGGAAUCUUCCGCAAUGGGCGAAAGCCUGACGGAGCAACGCCGCGUGAGUGAUGAAGGUCUUCGGAUCGUAAAACUCUGUUAUUAGGGAAGAACAUAUGUGUAAGUAACUGUGCACACCUUGACGGUACCUAAUCAGAAAGCCACGGCUAACUACGUGCCAGCAGCCGCGGUAAUACGUAGGUAGCAAGCGUUAUCCGGAAUUAUUGGGCGUAAAGCGCGCGUAGGCGGUUUUUUAAGUCUGAUGUGAAAGCCCACGGCUCAACCGUGGAGGGUCAUUGGAAACUGGAAAACUUGAGUGCAGAAGAGGAAAGUGGAAUUCCAUGUGUAGCGGUGAAAUGCGCAGAGAUAUGGAGGAACACCAGUGGCGAAGGCGACUUUCUGGUCUGUAACUGACGCUGAUGUGCGAAAGCGUGGGGAUCAAACAGGAUUAGAUACCCUGGUAGUCCACGCCGUAAACGAUGAGUGCUAAGUGUUAGGGGGUUUCCGCCCCUUAGUGCUGCAGCUAACGCAUUAAGCACUCCGCCUGGGGAGUACGACCGCAAGGUUGAAACUCAAAGGAAUUGACGGGGACCCGCACAAGCGGUGGAGCGUGUGGUUUAAUUCGAAGCAACGCGAAGAACCUUACCAAAUCCUGACAUCCUUUGACAACUCUAGAGAUAGAGCCUUCCCCUUCGGGGGACAAAGUGACAGGUGGUGCAUGGUUGUCGUCAGCUCGUGUCGUGAGAUGUUGGGUUAAGUCCCGCAACGAGCGCAACCCUUAAGCUUAGUUGCCAUCAUUAAGUUGGGCACUCUAAGUUGACUGCCGGUGACAAACCGGAGGAAGGUGGGGAUGACGUCAAAUCAUCAUGCCCCUUAUGAUUUGGGCUACACACGUGCUACAAUGGACAAUACAAAGGGCAGCGAAACCGCGAGGUCAAGCAAAUCCCAUAAAGUUGUUCUCAGUUCGGAUUGUAGUCUGCAACUCGACUACAUGAAGCUGGAAUCGCUAGUAAUCGUAGAUCAGCAUGCUACGGUGAAUACGUUCCCGGGUCU
This 1372-nucleotide ribosomal RNA is filed under the name uncultured bacterium. RNAcentral describes it as "bacterial SSU rRNA". It matches the Rfam family "Bacterial small subunit ribosomal RNA", at positions 28 to 1381 of the family's 1533-position model. The record is from RNAcentral.